This is a long non-coding RNA of Melanotaenia boesemani (Boeseman's rainbowfish), 234 nucleotides long. RefSeq lists it as uncharacterized. The record is from RefSeq and is a predicted model, not a curated record. NCBI's taxonomy places the organism in Eukaryota, Metazoa, Chordata, Actinopteri, Atheriniformes, Melanotaeniidae. The transcript has 3 exons.
CUUCAGGUGGUGGAGUGAGCGCUGGAGCUUUAAAUUUCCUGCUGGAUUUACCUCUGCAACGAAUAACAUCAGACUAGGUUCUGGCUGGAGUUGAUGACUUUGGUCUAGCACCAACACUGCUCCAGUAGGAGAGAUCAGUCUGAAUGUCCGGUUUGGGAUCUUCCCAGCUAUUCCAGUGUCAUUUGAACACAACCAUGGAAAUGUAUCAGCCAGGUCUCCCUUCCUGCCGAGGGA